This 118-nucleotide small nucleolar RNA is filed under the name Salmo salar (Atlantic salmon). RNAcentral describes it as "Small nucleolar RNA SNORA26 (ENSSSAG00000109581.1)". It matches the Rfam family "Small nucleolar RNA SNORA26". From Rfam's summary of the family: The snoRNA HBI-6 belong to the H/ACA family of snoRNAs, guiding the pseudouridylation of position U4522 if the 28S rRNA. HBI-6 is the human orthologue of mouse MBI-6 snoRNA. The record is from RNAcentral. Lineage: Eukaryota; Metazoa; Chordata; Actinopteri; Salmoniformes; Salmonidae.
UUGCCCAUCUAGGACCUAAAAUGUCCUAUAUGACCAACACAGGGGGUAGAGUAGUUCUCUCAUAAACCUGUAGUGAAGCCUCAAAUCCUCACUGUGGAUCCUGUCGGGAGAAACACGA